ACGAACGCUGGCGGCAGGCUUAACACAUGCAAGUCGAACGCCCCGCAAGGGGAGUGGCAGACGGGUGAGUAACGCGUGGGAACAUGCCCAAAGGUACGGAACAACUCCGGGAAACUGGAGCUAAUACCGUAUGUGCCCGAAAGGGGAAAGAUUUAUCGCCUUUGGAUUGGCCCGCGUCGGAUUAGCUAGUUGGUGGGGUAAAAGCCUACCAAGGCGACGAUCCGUAGCUGGUCUGAGAGGACGACCAGCCACACUGGGACUGAGACACGGCCCAGACUCCUACGGGAGGCAGCAGUGGGGAAUCUUGGACAAUGGGCGCAAGCCUGAUCCAGCCAUGCCGCGUGGAUGAUGAAGGCCUUAGGGUUGUAAAAUCCUUUCGCCGAGGACGAUAAUGACGGUACUCGGAGAAGAAGCUCCGGCUAACUUCGU
This 429-nucleotide ribosomal RNA is filed under the name uncultured bacterium. Its description in RNAcentral is "bacterial SSU rRNA". It matches the Rfam family "Bacterial small subunit ribosomal RNA", at positions 29 to 506 of the family's 1533-position model. The record is from RNAcentral.